GUGCUUGCUUUGGCAGCACAUAUACUAAAAUUGGAACGAUACAGAGAAGAUUAGCAUGGCCCCUGCACAAGGAUGACAUGCAAAUUCAUGAAGCGUUCCAUGGAAAG
Molecule: small nuclear RNA, 107 nt
Filed under: Microcebus murinus (gray mouse lemur)
Lineage: Eukaryota; Metazoa; Chordata; Mammalia; Primates; Cheirogaleidae
Source: RNAcentral